GAUGAACGCUGGCGGCGUGCUUAACACAUGCAAGUCGAACGGAAAGGCCCAAGCUUGCUUGGGUACUCGAGUGGCGAACGGGUGAGUAACACGUGGGUGAUCUGCCCUGCACUUCGGGAUAAGCCUGGGAAACUGGGUCUAAUACCGGAUAGGACCACUUCUUGGAUGUUGUGGUGGAAAGUUUUUUCGGUGUGGGAUGAGCUCGCGGCCUAUCAGCUUGUUGGUGGGGUAAUGGCCUACCAAGGCGUCGACGGGUAGCCGGCCUGAGAGGGUGUACGGCCACAUUGGGACUGAGAUACGGCCCAGACUCCUACGGGAGGCAGCAGGGGGGAAUAUUGCACAAGGGGCGCAAGCCUGAUGCAGCGACGCCGCGUGGGGGAUGACGGCCUUCGGGUUGUAAACUCCUUUCGCUAGGGACGAAGCGUUUUGUGACGGUACCUGGAGAAGAAGCACCGGCUAACUACGUG
RNAcentral lists this ribosomal RNA (467 nucleotides) under uncultured bacterium. RNAcentral's name for it is "partial 16S ribosomal RNA". It matches the Rfam family "Bacterial small subunit ribosomal RNA", at positions 28 to 507 of the family's 1533-position model. The record is from RNAcentral.